AUUGAACGCUGGCGGCAGGCCUAACACAUGCAAGUCGAGCGGAUGAAGGGAGCUUGCUCCUGGAUUCAGCGGCGGACGGGUGAGUAAUGCCUAGGAAUCUGCCUGGUAGUGGGGGAUAACGUCCGGAAACGGGCGCUAAUACCGCAUACGUCCUGAGGGAGAAAGUGGGGGAUCUUCGGACCUCACGCUAUCAGAUGAGCCUAGGUCGGAUUAGCUAGUUGGUGGGGUAAAGGCCUACCAAGGCGACGAUCCGUAACUGGUCUGAGAGGAUGAUCAGUCACACUGGAACUGAGACACGGUCCAGACCCCUACGGGAGGCAGCAGUGGGGAAUAUUGGACAAUGGGCGAAAGCCUGAUCCAGCCAUGCCGCGUGUGUGAAGAAGGUCUUCGGAUUGUAAAGCACUUUAAGUUGGGAGGAAGGGCAGUAAGUUAAUACCUUGCUGUUUUGACGUUACCAACAGAAUAAGCACCGGCUACUUCGUG
This 483-nucleotide ribosomal RNA is filed under the name uncultured bacterium. RNAcentral describes it as "partial 16S ribosomal RNA". It matches the Rfam family "Bacterial small subunit ribosomal RNA", at positions 30 to 507 of the family's 1533-position model. The record is from RNAcentral.